AGAGUUUGAUCCUGGCUCAGAUUGAACGCUGGCGGCAUGCUUUACACAUGCAAGUCGAACGGCAGCACGGGCUUCGGCCUGGUGGCGAGUGGCGAACGGGUGAGUAAUGCAUCGGAACGUACCCAUUUGUGGGGGAUAACUACGCGAAAGCGUGGCUAAUACCGCAUACGCCCUGAGGGGGAAAGCGGGGGAUUCUUCGGAACCUCGCACAAAUGGAGCGGCCGAUGUCAGAUUAGCUUGUUGGUGAGGUAAAGGCUCACCAAGGCGACGAUCUGUAGCGGGUCUGAGAGGAUGAUCCGCCACACUGGGACUGAGACACGGCCCAGACUCCUACGGGAGGCAGCAGUGGGGAAUUUUGGACAAUGGGGGCAACCCUGAUCCAGCCAUGCCGCGUGAGUGAAGAAGGCCUUCGGGUUGUAAAGCUCUUUCAGCCGGGAAGAAAGCGCACUCUCUAACAUAGGGUGUGGAUGACGGUACCGGAAGAAGAAGCACCGGCUAACUACGUGCCAGCAGCCGCGGUAAUA
Molecule: ribosomal RNA, 524 nt
Filed under: uncultured bacterium
Lineage: Bacteria
Description: bacterial SSU rRNA
Rfam family: Bacterial small subunit ribosomal RNA
Source: RNAcentral